Molecule: non-coding RNA, 252 nt
Organism: Camellia sinensis
Lineage: Eukaryota; Viridiplantae; Streptophyta; Magnoliopsida; Ericales; Theaceae
Source: RefSeq, a predicted model, not a curated record
UACAUGUAUAUAAGAAGAAAAUCCCACGACGUGAAGAGCAAGCCAGUCUCUGAUAUGUUAUGCCAGCCUAUAUAACCAAAGGGUAUUGGAGGAAAUUCCAUUCAUAACUACUACAUUAUAAUGCUAAACAGAAGAAGAGGUAAAAAGGCAGACAAUUCUAUUUCUCUUUUGUUCCAAAACUAAAUAUCUACUAGCAUCACAAAAAGAAAAGCUUUAAAAAAAAAAAAAAAAAAAAACAUACAAACAAAUAAA